RNAcentral lists this transfer RNA (84 nucleotides) under Felis catus (domestic cat). It matches the Rfam family "tRNA". Rfam says of the family: Transfer RNA (tRNA) molecules are approximately 80 nucleotides in length. Their secondary structure includes four short double-helical elements and three loops (D, anti-codon, and T loops). Lineage: Eukaryota; Metazoa; Chordata; Mammalia; Carnivora; Felidae. RNAcentral also lists the same sequence under 1 other name. The record is from Rfam by way of RNAcentral.
GCCUGGGUGGUUCAGUCGGUUGAGCAUCUGACUUUGGCUCAGGUCAUGAUCUCACAGUUUGUGGAUUCGAGCCCACGCCGGGCU